UACGUAGGGGGCUAGCGUUGUCCGGAAUCAUUGGGCGUAAAGCGCGCGUAGGCGGCUCGGUAAGUCCGCUGUAAAAGUCAAAGGCUCAACCUUUGAAUGCCGGUGGAUACUGCCGGGCUAGAGUCCGGAAGAGGCGAGUGGAAUUCCUGGUGUAGCGGUGGAAUGCGCAGAUAUCAGGAAGAACACCCGUGGCUAAGGCGGCUCUCUAGUACGGUACUGACGCUGAGACGCGAAAGCGUGGGGAGCGAACAGG
RNAcentral lists this ribosomal RNA (253 nucleotides) under uncultured bacterium. RNAcentral's name for it is "partial 16S ribosomal RNA". It matches the Rfam family "Bacterial small subunit ribosomal RNA", at positions 524 to 776 of the family's 1533-position model. The record is from RNAcentral.